This 941-nucleotide ribosomal RNA is filed under the name Mycoaciella uda. Its description in RNAcentral is "LSU rRNA". It matches the Rfam family "Eukaryotic large subunit ribosomal RNA", at positions 38 to 963 of the family's 3401-position model. The record is from RNAcentral. Lineage: Eukaryota; Fungi; Basidiomycota; Agaricomycetes; Polyporales; Meruliaceae.
GCAUAUCAAUAAGCGGAGGAAAAGAAACUAACAAGGAUUCCCCUAGUAACUGCGAGUGAAGCGGGAAAAGCUCAAAUUUAAAAUCUGGCAGCCUUUGGUUGCCCGAGUUGUAGUCUGGAGAAGUGUCUUCCGCGCCAGCCCGUGUACAAGUCUCUUGGAACAGAGCGUCAUAGAGGGUGAGAAUCCCGUCUUUGACACGGACUACUGGUGCUUUGUGAUGCGCUCUCAAAGAGUCGAGUUGUUUGGGAAUGCAGCUCAAAAUGGGUGGUAAAUUCCAUCUAAGGCUAAAUAUUGGCGAGAGACCGAUAGCGAACAAGUACCGUGAGGGAAAGAUGAAAAGCACUUUGGAAAGAGAGUUAAACAGUACGUGAAAUUGUUGAAAGGGAACCGCUUGAAGUCAGUCGCGUCGUCUAGAACUCAACCUGGCUUUUGCUUGGUGCACUUUCUAGUUGACGGGCCAACAUCAGUUUUGACUGUCGGAAAAAAGCCUUUGGAAUGUGGCACCUACGGGUGUGUUAUAGCCUUUGGUUGUAUACGAUGGUUGGGACUGAGGACCGCAGCACGCCUUUAUGGCCGGGAUUCGUCCACGUACGUGCUUAGGAUGUUGGCGUAAUGGCUUUAAGCGACCCGUCUUGAAACACGGACCAAGGAGUCUAACAUGCCUGCGAGUGUUUGGGUGGUAAACCCGAGCGCGUAAUGAAAGUGAAAGUUGGGAUCCCUGUCGUGGGGAGCACCGACGCCCAUACCAGAACUACUGUGACGGAUAUGCGGUUGAGCAUGUAUGUUGGGACCCGAAAGAUGGUGAACUAUGCCUGAAUAGGGUGAAGCCAGAGGAAACUCUGGUGGAAGCUCGUAGCGAUUCUGACGUGCAAAUCGAUCGUCAAAUUUGGGUAUAGGGGGCGAAAGACUAAUCGAAACCAUCUAGUAGCUGGGUCUGCGAG